UUGUUAGAGUAGAGCAACAUCUGCAGCCUAUGCUGAAGGAACUAUGUAUAACAGGCAUGUCUAACCCCUGUCUUUUGAUGUGGCAUCUCUUGUUGCCAUGGCAACACCUAAGACAAUCAGCAUUUUUGUGAACGACAAGCUACUUCUAAGUAUAUAAUUGGACAUUGCUACAGAACACCUACAUAGCACUUUUAAUGGAGUCCCUCACCAAUAUUGAAUCCUCCACUAUCAACUCCCACACCCAGGAUAAAACUGAUCAUCACUUGUUCAGCAACCUUACCCCCAAUAUUUGUGCAGUGUCAUCUAUCUCUUCCAAGCUCAGCUGUAGUUACAUAUACACAGAAUGCUGAUAAAAAAAAAAAAAA
Long non-coding RNA from Hyla sarda, 365 nucleotides. RefSeq lists it as uncharacterized. NCBI's taxonomy places the organism in Eukaryota, Metazoa, Chordata, Amphibia, Anura, Hylidae. The transcript has 3 exons. The record is from RefSeq and is a predicted model, not a curated record.